ACACACCCAGGAGCUCCAGCCUGUUAUGGGAUGGGCAUCCUACCAGGAACCAAGGAUGCUAAGAUGUCCUCCAAAAUGGAUUGCCUCAUAUCUAGUACCCGCCUGCUGCAGGCUUCUUCAUCUAGUUCCUCUGGGGACACACUGUGCAGCUAAUUCAUCCAGGCAGAUUCACUGGGAAGCUGUUGCUCAUGAGGGUGUAAUGAAGAAUCUCCAGGUGGAGAAAUGAUCCUGAAUUAUCCAGUGGGCCCUACAUGUCACCACAUUGCGAUCCUUCUAAGUAGGAAGCAGAAGAUCUGACACAUGCAGGAGAGGGGAAGGCAAUGUGACCAUGGAGGCAGAGAGGGGAGUGAUGUGGCCACAAACCAAGGAUUGUUGGCAGCUGCCAGUGGCCGAAGGGGCAAUGAAUGGAUUCUCCUUUGGAGCCUCUGGAGGGAGAAUGGCCCUGCUAACACCUUGAUUUUGGCCCAGUGAUACUGAUUUUGGACUUCUGCCCUCUAGAACUGUGAGGGAAUACUUUUCUGUUGCUUUAAGCCAUUGAAUUUAUGAUGAUUUGUUACAGCACCCACAGGAAACAAAUGCAUGGAUCUAACUUGAACCUAGUGAGUUAGAUUACUUCAGGGAAACACAAUAAAUAGUUAACAGGGCUUGUCAGGGGGGUGGGAGUGAGAUGAAAGUGUGAAGGCAACUUCUAUGGUUUACUUUUAUAUUUCCCUAUUUUUCAAAUCUUUUGCAAGAAAAUGAAUUCAUAUACUAUUUUAAAAAACAUAUAAAAUAUGAGCAAAAAGAUUUAUUGUAUCUCUUUAAAAUAAUUUAGAACAAGUAAUGGCUGCAGAACCUUAAAGGGUUUUUCUAGCAUGUUUCCAAGAUACAGUCUUGAUUAUUUGAGAUUGACAUGAAGAUGGCCCAGACUGUGCCACAACACAGCACUUGACACCAAAUGUUAGACUGUAAUGGGCCGUGUGAGUAUUACUCAGUGUGGCCAUUUCAUUAUCAAAUAUCUAUUUAUUUCAGAUUUCAAACACGAAUACAAGCUUCUCCUUUCUUUCCUUCCUUUCUCUUUUUCUCCUUUCUACAGCAAGUUCAGGAAUGUGCUAGGUAUGACCUGGGAUAGAAAGAGCAUAUACUCAGCUUUUGCCUUCAAGAAAAUUGGAUAUUGGCUUGGGAGAUAAGAUAAAUGAAAAGGAAGCAGAUGAUCUGUUAUAGAAGAGAUAACACUGUAAGCCCAAAUGUAUGUGAUUAAGUUCUAAAAGUGUAAACCAAUAGGGAGUGCUGUGAGGUGUCACCACGGGCGCAGAUUGCAGCAGAUCUGACCAUACAAGUGUAAAUAAAACCCUAUUGAAUGCCCCCUCUCCCUCCCCAAUUGUUCUGAGUGGUUGCUUCAAGAUUUCUUCUCAUCGUUCUCAAAUUGUUACUGUGAGAUUAACUGGCAAACAUUUCUCCUUAACAUAAGAAGUGUGAAUGGAAUCCUACCAAGUGAUUUUGCCAAUAGUUCCUAUUCCUGCUGCAAACAGUGGUGUGCUCAGGCUUAAGCUGUAACAUGUCCACACUCACCUGUCACUUGGGAAUGCCUCUGUUGGAAUGCAACAUGCCCACUUAUCACACAGCCGGCAUGAGAGGCAGAGUGGAGUUUAACCAAGCAUUCUGCCCCCAAAGUCUGCAGAUGUAGCCAGUGCCUUCAGAAAAGGGAAGGGAAACUAACCCUGUUGAGUAUCUACUAUGUGCUAGGCAUUCUGUUAAGCACUUUUACACACAUCAUUUAAUCCUCGUGACAGUAUUUAGAAAUAGCUAUCAUUUCCCAGUUCUGUAGAUGAGGAAGAAAAGGUAGGCUCAGAGAGGGUAGGUAAGUUGUCUAAGGUCACAUAGCUGGUACAUAGUAGUAGAGCUAGGGUGCAAACCCAAGAUUUUCUGAGUCCAAAGCACAUGC
Molecule: long non-coding RNA, 1924 nt
Organism: Homo sapiens (human)
Lineage: Eukaryota; Metazoa; Chordata; Mammalia; Primates; Hominidae
Gene: SLC1A3-AS1
Product: SLC1A3 antisense RNA 1
Source: Ensembl